This 440-nucleotide ribosomal RNA is filed under the name uncultured bacterium. RNAcentral's name for it is "partial 16S ribosomal RNA". It matches the Rfam family "Bacterial small subunit ribosomal RNA", at positions 338 to 795 of the family's 1533-position model. The record is from RNAcentral.
CCUACGGGAGGCUGCAGUGGGGAAUAUUGCACAAUGGGGGAAACCCUGAUGCAGCGACGCCGCGUGAGUGAAGAAGGAUCUAGGUACGGAAAGCUCUAUCAGCAGGGGAGUAAAUGACGGUACGUGACUAAGAAGCCCCGGCUAACUACGUGCCAGCAGCCGCGGUAAUACGUAGGGGGCAAGCGUUAUCCGGAUUUACUGGGUGUAAAGGGGGCGUAGACGGUAGAACAAGUCUGGAGUGAAAUCCCGGGGCUUAACCCCGGAACUGCUUUGGAAACUGUGCGGCUGGAGUGCAGGAGGGGUAAGCGGAAUUCCUAGUGUAGCGGUGAAAUGCGUAGAUAUUAGGAGGAACACCGGUGGCGAAGGCAGCUUACUGGACUGUAACUGACGUUGAGGCUCGAAAGCGUGGGGAGCAAACAGGAUUAGAUACCCCAGUAGUC